This 384-nucleotide ribosomal RNA is filed under the name uncultured Cryptomonadales. RNAcentral describes it as "partial small subunit ribosomal RNA". It matches the Rfam family "Eukaryotic small subunit ribosomal RNA", at positions 30 to 432 of the family's 1831-position model. Lineage: Eukaryota; Cryptophyceae; Cryptomonadales. The record is from RNAcentral.
GCUUGUCUCAAAGAUUAAGCCAUGCAUGUCUUAGUGUAAAUAACUCUUAUGAAACUGCGAAUGGCUCAUUAAAUCAGUUAUCAAAUACGUGAUGGUCGCCUACUACAUGGAUAACCGUAGUAAUUCUAGAGCUAAUACAUGCACAAAGGCCCACGCAAGUGGGUUGUGAUUAUUAGAUUCAAACCGGCCUCGUUCUGGUGAUUCAUAAUAAUUGGUCGAACCGCAUGCCCUUGUGGUGGCGGUGAUUCAUCCUUAUUUCUGCCCUAUCAGCUUUGGAUGGUAGGAUAUGGGCCUACCAUGGCGUUAACGGGUAACGGGGAAUUAGGGUUUGAUUCCGGAGAGGGAGCCUUAGAAACGGCUACCACAUCCAAGGAAGGCAGCAGG